This is a long non-coding RNA of Lolium rigidum, 850 nucleotides long. RefSeq lists it as uncharacterized. Lineage: Eukaryota; Viridiplantae; Streptophyta; Magnoliopsida; Poales; Poaceae. The record is from RefSeq and is a predicted model, not a curated record. The transcript has 2 exons.
UCCAACCAUGUCUUUGAUUUAGGUUUUGCUUCUACCCUUCCUAUGGUUGCAGAUUUGUUUUCCCUGAGGCUGUGCUGGUAGUGACUGAAAAUCUGUUAAAUCCUUUGGUUUGCAAUCUAUCAUCCAUCUUUCUGUUUGAUUCGGUUUCUGUCUUUCCAUGUGCUUUUGGUCGUCUGCAUGUGUUGACUACAGGAUUUAGUUAGGAGUUGGAUUACCCCUAGGGAAGAAAAUAAAUCUACGGGGAGCCAGGUCAGUGUUUUGUGGAUGUUUGGUUCAUUUUGUGUCCGCCUCCACGAGUUGGCUGCAGGACUGGAUCUGGUCUGGAACUUGAGCCCUCUAUGGCAAAGGGCGGUUACUUUAUUGGUUAUGGCUCGGUGCUUAUGUGUGCUUAUGUGAUCUCGUUGAAACUUGUGAGCUGCUGGAUUGGAUUGCUGAUAAUGGGAUGGACCCAGAGAAGUUACAGAUUGUGUUGGGAUAAUUAGUCCUUCUGAUUUAAUUUCUUUCUCAAUUGAGUGUACACCAAUUCUGAAAUGGAUUGUUGGUUCUCCAGAUAUUGGACUUGCACAACUUGGCGAAGGUGCCCUAUUUUGCUUCAUCAUGUUAUCGAUAUUAAAAUGGAGGAUUUCGUUCUGGAACCAAAGGAUUGUUGUCUAUCUCCCAGCUGAGCAAGCUUAUCCUAUUCCCUCAAUAUUUGAUGCAUGAACAAAAAAUGUACAGCAAUGUCUUAGGUCCAACCUGAUGUUGUAUUAUAUCUUUUUGGAAAUCUUAACACACUACCUUCUCAAUUCACAACAACUUUGUAAACGUAAAAGGUUAUCAAAGUGUCUCACCGAGAGGCAAUAUUUGGACA